RNAcentral lists this ribosomal RNA (285 nucleotides) under uncultured Prevotella sp. RNAcentral's name for it is "partial 16S ribosomal RNA". It matches the Rfam family "Bacterial small subunit ribosomal RNA", at positions 355 to 637 of the family's 1533-position model. Lineage: Bacteria; Pseudomonadati; Bacteroidota; Bacteroidia; Bacteroidales; Prevotellaceae. The record is from RNAcentral.
UGAGGAAUAUUGGUCAAUGGGCGAGAGCCUGGACCAGCCAAGUAGCGUGCAGGAAGACGGCCCUACGGGUUGUAAACUGCUUUUAUGAAGGAAUAAAGUCACCCACGUGUGGGUGUUUGCAUGUACUUUAUGAAUAAGGACCGGCUAAUUCCGUGCCAGCAGCCGCGGUAAUACGGAAGGUCCGGGCGUUAUCCGGAUUUAUUGGGUUUAAAGGGAGCGUAGGCCGCCUGGUAAGCGUGUUGUGAAAUGUCGUUGCUCAACAACGUCACUGCAGCGCGAACUGCC